GACGAACGCUGGCGGCGUGCUUAACACAUGCAAGUCGAACGGAAAGGCCCUGCUUUUGUGGGGUGCUCGAGUGGCGAACGGGUGAGUAACACGUGAGUAACCUGCCCUUGACUUUGGGAUAACUUCAGGAAACUGGGGCUAAUACCGGAUAGGAGCUCCUGCUGCAUGGUGGGGGUUGGAAAGUUUCGGCGGUUGGGGAUGGACUCGCGGCUUAUCAGCUUGUUGGUGGGGUAGUGGCUUACCAAGGCUUUGACGGGUAGCCGGCCUGUGAGGGUGACCGGCGACAUUGGGACUGAGAUACGGACCAGACUCCUACGGGAGGCAGAGGGGGGGAAUAUUGCACAAUGGGAGGAAGCCUGAUGCAGCAACGCGGCGUGCGGGAUGACGGCCUUCGGGUUGUAAACCGCUUUCGCCUGUGACGAAGCGUGAGUGACGGUAAUGGGUAAAGAAGCACCGGCUAACUACGUG
Molecule: ribosomal RNA, 468 nt
Filed under: uncultured bacterium
Lineage: Bacteria
Description: partial 16S ribosomal RNA
Rfam family: Bacterial small subunit ribosomal RNA
Source: RNAcentral